UUUUAUGUGUAUAGGUGUUUUAGCUGCAUCUGUGUCUGUGCACCACACGUGGAGGUCAGAAGAGGGCAUCUGAUCCUCUGGAACUGGACUUAUGAGUGGUUUGUGAACCACCAUGUGGAUGCUGGGAAUCAAACCUAGGUCCUCUGGGAGAGCAGCUAGCACUCUUCACCAGCAAGCCAUCUCUCCAGCCCCUUUAUUUUUUAUUUUGAGACAGAAUCAUGUUAAGUUAAGGAGGCUGGUCUCUGUAGCCGGGUCAGGCCUUAAAUGUCCACCCUUGUGUGUCAGUCCUGGGAUUAUAGCCCUCUUAUCCAGCUGCGCAGUUAUCACCUAUUUAUCUCUCAAGCAACAGGUGUUGGAUUUCCAGCCUGCAUCUGUCCUAACCCUUGGGCCCAGGGACAUCUUCAGCUUCCUUUAGCUCUGACAUACCUAGGUUGUUGGGUCACCCUUCCUUUCUGUUCUUUUUUUCCUGGUCUGAAGUAGCAUUAGUCAGUUAGGCCCACCCCCAGGCUACAACUUCAUCUGCUCUUAGGGACCUGAGCACUGUGAGAUGUUUGGCAUUCUACCUUCUGACCCAGCAGAUGGGCCCUGGGAGAUGAGGGCCUGGGGCCUGGGCCGGCUAUGCCCUUCAGGCCCUCGGGAUCCUGGAACACCCUAUGGUGGAGUGUUUGGUUGGGCCUUAGCUUCUUAGCUCUUUUUUAACUGUAAGCCACCGAUACUGUGUGGCUUGGGACACUCGUCUCCAGUGUUUCUUUCAUGUGAACUUGAGGCUUGAAGCUUCCAGGUGCUUUGUGACUGAGCUAGGUCUUAGCUCUUGGCCUUUAGGUUUUUUUUUUUAAAUGUGAUUUUUUAAAAAAGAUCUAUUUAUUUAUUUUAUGUAUAUGAGUACACCAUUGCUCUCUUCAGACACAGCAGAAGAGAGCAUCAGAUCUCAUUACAGAUGGUCGUAAGCCACCAUGUGGUUGCUGGGAAUUGAACUCAGGACCUCUGGAAGAGCAGUCGGUGCUCUUAACCACGGAGCCAUCUCUCCAGCCAGGCCUUUAGUUUUUAAAACCUCAGAUACAAUCCAUCAGCCAUACUAAGAGGCCUGAGCAAGGGGAAUCAGGCCAAUCGCUACCGGCAGCCAUUGCUAGACAAAUAACAGUCAACGGAUGGAAGUAAGAACACAGGCUUUGUUGGAACCCAUGAGCUGUAACCCCAGCACCUGGCUCAGUAGCACCCAUUCGCAGGGGGUGGCAGCUCACAUCUUCCAUAACCCUAAAGAGUUAUGGAUCAAGCUGGGCAGUGGUGGCGCAAGCCUUCAGUCCCAGCACUUGGGAGGCAGAGGCAGGCGGAUUUCUGAGUUUGAGGCCAGCCUGGUCUACAGAGUGAGUGCCAGGACAGCCAGGGCUACACAGAGAAACCCCAUCUCGAAAAACC
RNAcentral lists this long non-coding RNA (1416 nucleotides) under Mus musculus (house mouse). RNAcentral describes it as "long non-coding RNA chr11:97420490-97421906". The record is from RNAcentral. Lineage: Eukaryota; Metazoa; Chordata; Mammalia; Rodentia; Muridae.